This 274-nucleotide ribosomal RNA is filed under the name uncultured bacterium. RNAcentral's name for it is "partial 16S ribosomal RNA". It matches the Rfam family "Bacterial small subunit ribosomal RNA", at positions 523 to 796 of the family's 1533-position model. The record is from RNAcentral.
ACACGAACCGGACAAACGUUAUUCGGAAUUAUUGGGCUUAAAGGGUGCGUAGGCGGCGCGGUAAGUGAGGUGUGAAAGCCCACGACUCAAUCGUGGAAUUGCGCUUCAUACUGCCGUGCUAGAGGGAGACAGAGGUAAGCGGAACUGAUGGUGGAGCGGUGAAAUGCGUUGAUAUUAUCAGGAACACCGGUGGCGAAGGCGGCUUACUGGGUCUCUUCUGACGCUGAGGCACGAAAGCUAGGGUAGCGAACGGGAUUAGAAACCCCGGUAGUCC